This 246-nucleotide ribosomal RNA is filed under the name uncultured bacterium. RNAcentral's name for it is "partial 16S ribosomal RNA". It matches the Rfam family "Bacterial small subunit ribosomal RNA", at positions 524 to 767 of the family's 1533-position model. The record is from RNAcentral.
GACGAACCGUGCGAACGUUAUUCGGAAUCACUGGGCUUAAAGCGCGUGUAGGCGGGCCGGCACGUCGGCCGCUGAAAGCCCCCCGGCUCAACCGGGGAAGCGGCGCCGAUACGACCGGCCUGGAGGGGGGUAGGGGGAGCCGGAACUCACGGUGGAGCGGUGAAAUGCGUUGAGAUCGUGAGGAACGCCCGUGGCGAAAGCGGGCUCCUGGGCCCCGCCUGACGCUGAGACGCGAAAGCCAGGGGA